UGGAAGUAAAAGUCGUAACAAGGUUUCCGUAGGUGAACCUGCGGAAGGAUCAUUGUCGAAUCCUGCACGGCAGAACGACCCGCGAACAAGUUAUUAACCCAAUGCUGGGGUUGUGCCCAACCGUCCUCGGUCGACGCACGAUCCCAGCACCCACAACGUACCCCCGGCGCGGAAGGCGCCAAGGAACAUGAACAAGAGAGGUAUGAGAACCCCGCACCCCCCAUAGAGGGGAAGUCAGGGCGAUUGUGCCGCCUCAUGAGUUAACAACAAACGACUCUCGGCAACGGAUAUCUCGGCUCUCGCAUCGAUGAAGAACGUAGCGAAAUGCGAUACUUGGUGUGAAUUGCAGAAUCCCGUGAACCAUCGAGUCUUUGAACGCAAGUUGCGCCCGAAGCCAUUCGGCCGAGGGCACGUCUGCCUGGGUGUCACGCAACAUGUCGCCCCCAAGAUCGGAGUUCAAACUCCAAUGGGGUGCGGAAGUUGGCCUCCCGUGGCUUCACGCUGCGGCUGGCCGAAAAGUGAGCGAUGGAGCGGCGUACUCCGCGGCGCGCGGUGGUGCUGAAAAUUGCCCCUCGGGCAUCGAGUCCGGAUCGUCUCUCCAGCAGCGCUCUGCGGCCUUCAUUAAGAACACAUGCGACCCCAGGUCAGGCGGGGCUACCCGCUGAGUUUAAGCAUAUCAAUAAGCGGAGGAA
This 692-nucleotide ribosomal RNA is filed under the name Ammannia baccifera. RNAcentral describes it as "eukaryotic LSU rRNA". The stretch from base 273 to 428 matches the Rfam family "5.8S ribosomal RNA". Lineage: Eukaryota; Viridiplantae; Streptophyta; Magnoliopsida; Myrtales; Lythraceae. The record is from RNAcentral.